This 91-nucleotide transfer RNA is filed under the name Burkholderia plantarii. RNAcentral describes it as "tRNA-Ala". Lineage: Bacteria; Pseudomonadati; Pseudomonadota; Betaproteobacteria; Burkholderiales; Burkholderiaceae. The record is from RNAcentral.
GCCGCCCUGGGUGGAGGCGGCCGGCACGUAGCCAUAGCCCGAGGUGUCGCGCGCGGCGCCCGGUCGGGCGUUCAGCUUCGCUUCGGCGGCC